RNAcentral lists this ribosomal RNA (445 nucleotides) under uncultured bacterium. RNAcentral describes it as "partial 16S ribosomal RNA". It matches the Rfam family "Bacterial small subunit ribosomal RNA", at positions 354 to 796 of the family's 1533-position model. The record is from RNAcentral.
GUGAGGAAUAUUGGACAAUGGGCGCAAGCCUGAUCCAGCCAUGCCGCGUGCAGGAAGACGCAUCUAUGGUGUGUAAACUGCUUUUGUACGGGAAGAAACACUCCCUCGUGAGGGAGCUUGACGGUACCGUAAGAAUAAGGAUCGGCUAACUCCGUGCCAGCAGCCGCGGUAAUACGGAGGAUCCAAGCGUUAUCCGGAAUCAUUGGGUUUAAAGGGUCCGUAGGCGGUUUAAUAAGUCAGUGGUGAAAGCCCAUCGCUCAACGAUGGAACGGCCAUUGAUACUGCUAGACUUGAAUUACAAGGAAGUAACUAGAAUAUGUAGUGUAGCGGUGAAAUGCUUAGAUAUUACAUGGAAUACCAAUUGCGAAGGCAGGUUACUACUUGUGGAUUGACGCUGAUGGACGAAAGCGUGGGGAGCGAACAGGAUUAGAAACCCUGGUAGUCC